AGAAUCAACGCUGGCGGCGUGCCUAACACAUGCAAGUCGCACGAGAAAGGGACUUCGGUCCUGAGUACAGUGGCGCACGGGUGAGUAACACGUGAAUAAUCUACCUCCGAGUGGGGAAUAACUGAGAGAAAUCUUAGCUAAUACCGCAUAACACUUACGAGUCAAAGCAGCAAUGCGCUUGGAGAGGAGUUCGCGGCAGAUUAGUUAGUUGGCGGGGUAAUGGCCCACCAAGACGAUGAUCUGUAUCCGGCCUGAGAGGGCGCACGGACACACUGGAACUGAAACACGGUCCAGACUCCUACGGGAGGCAGCAGUGGGGAAUUUUGCGCAAUGGGGGAAACCCUGACGCAGCAACGCCGCGUGGAGGAUGAAAUCCCUUGGGAUGUAAACUCCUUUCGAUCGGGAAGAUAAUGACGGUACCGAGAGAAGAGCCCGGCUAACUUCGCGCCAGCAGCCGC
Molecule: ribosomal RNA, 458 nt
Filed under: uncultured bacterium
Lineage: Bacteria
Description: SSU rRNA
Rfam family: Bacterial small subunit ribosomal RNA
Source: RNAcentral